Molecule: ribosomal RNA, 440 nt
Filed under: uncultured bacterium
Lineage: Bacteria
Description: partial 16S ribosomal RNA
Rfam family: Bacterial small subunit ribosomal RNA
Source: RNAcentral
CCUACGGGUGGCAGCAGUAGGGAAUAUUGCUCAAUGGGGGAAACCCUGAAGCAGCAACGCCGCGUGGAGGAUGAAGGUUUUCGGAUUGUAAACCCCUUUUGUUAGAGAAGAUAAUGAAGGUAACUAACGAAUAAGCACCGGCUAACUCCGUGCCAGCAGCCGCGGUAAUACGGAGGGUGCAAGCGUUACUCGGAAUUACUGGGCGUAAAGAGCGCGUAGGCGGGCGAGCAAGUCAGAUGUGAAAGCCUAUGGAUUAACCAUCGAACUGCAUUGGAAACUGUUAUGCUAGAGUAUGGGAGAGGUAGGUGGAAUUCUUGGUGUAGCGGUAAAAUCCGUAGAGAUCAAGAGGAAUACUCAUGGCGAAGGCGACCUGCUAGAACAUAACUGACGCUGAGGCGCGAAAGCGUGGGGAGCAAACAGGAUUAGAUACCCUUGUAGUC